UCAAGUUUGUUCACGAGGCUGAGACUCGUAUGAAUAAUCACAAUUUCUUGUUUAAUAGAUUCAGAGGCAUUCCUGAUUUUUAUCAGCUGCAAAGGUGGAGAGUAAGUUACUCAAUAUUUAAUUAUUUUCUUUCAAUUAAUACAAAUUUGUGUAUGCACAUUCAGUAUUUCAUUAGCAGAGUUCUGCCAACACCUAUCAUUUACCUUGCUUAUAGAAAGAGCCUAAAAGAAACUUUGUGGUGAUGUCUGUGGACAAAGCAGUUACCCUCAUUCUUAUCCUUAUCAAAGAAGUGUUCAUUUCAAAAUUAAAAAAACAACCUCUAAUGUAUUUUUACGGUGGACUUUAUCACACAAUGUGAAUAUUUUUAGAGGGGGAGUUACAAAGGCCAAUUAAUCAGCGUAUCUACCCUCUUACAGCAUUUACAGGCAUUACAAAUUGCAAUAUAGCAAUUAUCAGUUCAUUUCAGUAAGAGAGAGUACGACAAAUUUAACAACAAACACAGAAAAAAUAAUGAACAAAACAGUUAAAAACAAGGGCACAAAAAUCUGAGAAAGACACCUUAGAUACAAAACAUGGAAAACACUAAACAAAUGAGAACAAGUUCAGGCACCAUGGAGGUCACUCUAAAAACAUCACAUAAGUAAUAAAAGAGCAUUUAAACAGGACAUCCACUUAAGACCCAACACAGAGUAACACUUACACCAGGAAUAUGUUCUACAGGUUAUAAGCUGUGAUAUUAAAUCUAUGUUUACAGAGUUAAAAUGCAUUAAAGCUUUUUCUUCCAGUUUGUUUUUAAAGCUGUCAAGAGAUUUAAGAGAUUUGCAGUUCUUAUUUAAAGUUCUUCACGGUGUCCCCCCUGAGUUGUGCCUUUCAUACAGUUUAGUUUUCCAUGAGACUUGCUUUGUAUUUUUUUUUUGGAAGGGAUGACACAAUUUACGCUCGGCUAUUGACUGUGUCUUGUUUGUCUGGUCCUACCCACUCCUCAGUGUUGGACACACACACAAUGAUGGUCACAGGUGUCUGUCGUUUAAAAUCACACCUCAAAACUGGUCUUAGGUAUAAAAAAAGAGAAAAGAAAUUCUCUGUAUGUUUGAGGCAAUUUGUUUGUAAAGUUCCCACGCUGACACCAGCAUUUCAGUACCAUAUAGGAGGGGCCCAGCAUAUUGUGUGUGGUAGACUUUUAGGUUAGUGUGGGUACCUUGGGUUUGAGCCGAACCAUGUUCCUAUGCAACAGCACCAAACUGAAAGUGUUGACUAAAGCAGUUUGGUACCGAUGUUUACUUUGACAUCCCCAUCUCUCAACAUAGGUAAUUCUAGUGCAACAGCAUUUCAUAAACUAUGCAGGAAAAGCUUUGUGGAUUAAUUUAGGGUAUAACAUUUGAUGAUUUGUAAGAAAAAAAAAAGGAAAAAUAAGGUUUGUUGAUAGAGGUCAAGGACCGAAACAUUGCUAAUAAAUGUGUUUUAUGCCAGUUGGACAGGGUGCUGGAGUUUCCCCCUUUUUUGGAUGGAUGUAUUUGACACCACCAAGCUCCGCCUUCUCCUGGCACUCAGUUAAAAGCAUCGUCAAAGCAUUUCAGAUUGGGGUCAUUUAUUCUGUGCCACAUAAGAAACAAAUCAGCUCCCAAAAAUCUGUGAACAAGAAGAAUUUCAUUAUAGAAGCAAGGGUCAUGAUCAUCACCACUGAAGGGAAUGUGCAUUCCUGCAGUCCUUACACCCGUGUGCGAACUAGGACUAAGUCCUGCUUUGGCCAGACACAUUCCCAUGUAAACAUCAUCAAUGGGAAGAAGAGGGAUGGACUUGGACAUGUUGUAUAUGACUGAAGCAGUGUAACCAGACAGUAUGAAGCCCCCACCACCACAGUAGGGAGGAUACUGGUCUGACUUCUGCACCUGAACUGGGACAUAAUACUUGCUCCCUGAAUCUCUAAUAGGCCCAACAUACUGGAUCAGAUGGCCAGUAAAAAGGUGCUUGUUUCCAUCAUUGUCCUCAAGACUUUGGAAAUACUUGACCACAUUGUUUGUGUUCACAAAAACAUCAUCAUCACCAUUAAACAGGAAAAAGGCUUUUGGACAGUUUCUUUCAAACCACUCCAGGAAGAUUACCUGCUUCAAUGUGAGGUUGAAGAAUGUGUCGGCAAAGUCCCACUGAAGUAUGUCUUUGUACUGACUGUGCUCCAGCUCAAGAACUUUGUUCAGUCUUUUUUUCCUAAAACCAGAGCCUGUUGUUCCUGUGAUGAAGAGCCGUCUGAUCCACCCACCACUCUGUAUCCUCUCUUUGGCCCAGGUCUUACGGAGCAUUUCUCUGCGAUCAUGUUUUUCUGGUGAACUUUUGAUGACCAACAGAAGGAAGACUUCAGAGGAUCGAUCAGCUCCUCCACAUUUGUUUGGAAGGUCCAAGAGCAAGGGAAAAUGUCGACAGUGUUGAUAGUACAGGAAGUCUUGGAUAUGACCAGGAAGUGAGCCGAAGUUUUGAAUGCUGGAAGCAGACGUGUUUCGUGUACAGGUUUGCGAAGAGAACAGAGAGGGGCUACUUAGAGUGAGAGGUGAUAUUGGUCUGCUAUCCAUUCUGACAUUAACAUGGUGGACUUUGUGGUCAUAAGAGUUAAUGUAGAGAUAAACAAUGAUGAGAACUCCCAGAAGCAGGAAAAUCUUUGUUCUGUUGACUCUUCUCUUUGAAAACCUGUUGUCACAAAAAAAGGGUAAAGUUUCUUUUUACAGACUUAUCUCAGUCAAAUUUGAUAUUUCAAAGAUUAUUAUCAAAGUGCUUAGGGUUUAUGGUCAUAAUUAAGAUGUGCACACAGUGGCCCUCGUUUAUUAAAUGAAACGUACAGCAGAAAACUGUCCGUACAACCAUUUCCAAGCAAGAAUUGGC
RNAcentral lists this long non-coding RNA (2871 nucleotides) under Xyrichtys novacula (pearly razorfish). The record is from RNAcentral. Lineage: Eukaryota; Metazoa; Chordata; Actinopteri; Labriformes; Labridae.